CUUUCAAAGUUGCCGUUUGCCUCACAACCUUUACCCAAUCCUUAAAGGUUGCCUCCUUACCCAAACUGGUUGCAUAGUUAAGAGGGAUAGCCUGAUUUACACUGUACCUGCCUUCCAACUUUUAGUGAUUGAAUUUACCAUACUGAAAGAUAUAUUGAAGAUCUUUGAGUGUUUACCCUUUUCUUGAUCUGUGCCUUUGUAAAACUUUAUCCCUGAGUUUCUUUAAAAGCUGCUUAUUGGAGCUUUCACAGACAGCUGUACUGAGAGAGAGACUCCUGUCUCUGGUCAUGGGCAGUUACACUGUGAGAGUGAGACUCCUGUCACUGGUCAUGGACAGUUACACUGUGAGAGAGAGUCUGCUGUCACUGCUCAUGGACAGUUACACUGCGAGAGAGCGUCUACUGUCACUGGUCAUGGACAGAUACACUGCGAGAGAGAGUCUGCUGUCACUGGUCAUGGACAGAUACACUGUGAGAGAGAGUCUGCUGUCACUCCUCAUGGACAGUUACACUGUGAGAAAGUCUGCUGUCACUGACCAUGAGAGGGUGCUGCUGAGUGCAGACUGAAGGUUUUCCCAAAAAUAAUAGAAGAGAAAUAUUGGAAAACAUGAGCAGUUAAGUUCAAGUUUUUGAAUAAGUUUCCAAGAACUACAAAAGUUGUGUAUAUCUAAAAUAUUGUUGAAAAUAACCCUGUAACAGUUUUGUUUUCUUCCAAGUAAAUACACUAUUUAAACUCCUGAAUAAGGCC
RNAcentral lists this long non-coding RNA (747 nucleotides) under Lepisosteus oculatus (spotted gar). RNAcentral describes it as "lncRNA (ENSLOCG00000023258.1)". The record is from RNAcentral. Lineage: Eukaryota; Metazoa; Chordata; Actinopteri; Semionotiformes; Lepisosteidae.